Molecule: long non-coding RNA, 1096 nt
Filed under: Gallus gallus (chicken)
Lineage: Eukaryota; Metazoa; Chordata; Aves; Galliformes; Phasianidae
Description: long non-coding RNA NONGGAT004928
Source: RNAcentral
GGCGGUGAUGCUGGGAAAAGGCCACACUGGCCCCUAGAAAGGGGUGUCCCAGACUCAUGCUCUACAGCGACAUGGAGUUAUCAGCACCGCUUACCUUUAGAUCCAUAGGAUAGCGGGGCUGGAUAAAUGUCUGGAAACCUGACAGCCUUUCAGCUGGCUUUCUCAGCGCUGUCAAAGCACUGCUCUGAGCAUCUUCAGCUAGCCCAGAGCAAAAUACAGUCACCUCAGUGCGCGAGCCGAGCAGGAAAGCUAUAGGGGAGUGGGAAGAGCCAAGAAGAGCAGUGGCACUAGGAUACGGGAAGCAGGUAUCCCUGCUAUCCAAAUGUCCGGAGGAAGAGCCAGAUUUUCCUCGUGGCCACACGGAGCCCAAGCACUGUGACUGGGAGCAUCAUUCCCACAGGGCACGCACGCAUGGGACAGAUGACAGAGCAAGGCCAAGCAGCGUGCCGGCCCCGUCUCGGUGGAGCUGUUCUCGUUUCUAGUGGCCACGGAGCUGAUUUUGGUUAUGCACAAAGCAAAAGUACUGCCAAGAUAACCCCAAGCUGCCAAUUCGCUGCUCACAGAUCUAUCCAUCUAGACAUCAAUUCACGUUACACACACGCUUUGAUCGUGGAUAGCCCAUAUGUAAAAAAUCACACAUGGAGGCAGCUCUAAUUUACAGUUCGUUAUAUAUCCCUGUAGGCUUGCAGCCCUGCAGGCUGUAGUUUUGGCCUCUGCUACUUUACAAAGUAAAUAUACACGUAUAGAAUUCCCCAGGUGCUGCCCCCUCCCUCACUCUUUAUACUGGAGGUGUACAAAUGCUGAACAAAGGCACUUUUGCUGCAUGGUUCUAUCAGUGUAUUUUCUCCCCAGCCUAAACCAGUGCUCCAGAAGAAACAGAAACUACACAUCUGCAACGCCUUGCAAUAACUGCCUCACCAGUGGGCAUGAACAGUGAAGAAUAUCAGGCUAGCAGCCCUAUGGAAUAAUUUGCCUUCAAGAGCCCCUGGAUUCGCUCCAGUAUUUUUGAGCUAGGAGACUGCAGUGAAAUAUCUUCUUAGCAUGCCUGUGUUUCAAACCAUCAGGCUACUCACAUGCAUGAAGUUAAAUGCGGAUG